Molecule: long non-coding RNA, 1223 nt
Filed under: Strigops habroptila (Kakapo)
Lineage: Eukaryota; Metazoa; Chordata; Aves; Psittaciformes; Psittacidae
Description: lncRNA (ENSSHBG00005006693.1)
Source: RNAcentral
GUGCCGCGAUUUGGACGUAGGAGAGCACGGAAAAGCGGCGGCCAGGCUUUUCUGUUUCCUGUGGGAGUAACAGAAGAAGAUAUGGUCUGACAAGUAUAUAUGUCAAAGCAUUGCUGUAGAUCUUUAGAUACAGACUGUGGACUAUCUGCUAACAUUUGGGUCUGUGAAAAGAGUACAACUCAUGGCUGAUUAGACUGAGCUGCAAAUGUGGAAUGAUCACUGUGAAGAGAGGACUUUGGAACACUGAUUUGCAUAUCCUGUGGCUGUAGUAGCUCAUUCUGUGGUCAAAAGACACUCAGUAAAGAAAGAAGCACAGAAGGAUCUGAAGACCAAGAAGAAGUGGAUGACUUCUGGAAAGAAAAACAGUUGCUGUCAAGAACUUCAGUAUCCAGAGGCUUCAAGUGACACUGGUGAUUCUGUCUUUGUAGAAUCUGACUACCAAAAAGGGGGAGUGAAAGACCUGAAAGAGAGUCAGAAGCGCAUAAAACUCCCACCUCCACAAAAUCUGAGAGAGCCAAUCUCCAGAGGCAGUCCAGACUUGCUUGUUAGAAGGAGAGAAAGAAGCUGUGAAAAAAGUACAGAAAACAAAGUGCCAACUGUGGCAUUACAACAAAGUACAGAGGUAGAAUCAGAUAGCUCGGAUGGUGAAUUUGAAUCGUUAAUAGAACGGAUAAGGAAACGAAGUAUACCUCAAAAACCUACGUUAAGCACAAAUAAAACUGUCCGCCAGCCAAGCACAAGAGUGGGCUGUUCAUUGCAGUGAUUGUGAGUCUGCUCUUCCUUGUGUUAUUGAGGUUCACAGCUGGGGUUCUCUUCUGGAUUUUCAUCUUUGGUGUGAUUGGAAUUAUAGGUUAUGGCAUCUGGCAUUGUUACUGGGAGUACAACCAUCUGAAAGGAAUACCUGGAUCUGACCUCACUGUUUAGGAUACUGGAUUCCAGAGGGACUUCAGAGUGUGCCUGCAGCUGAGGCAAACAUGGUUAGCAUUUAAUAAGUGCCCUUAACUUGGUAUCUGUUAAUGGAUACUCGGGAGAUUCAAUCGCUGUCUUGCUACAGUUUCUGCCUUGUUAAAUCUCCUGCUCUACGUAUGUUGCUCAUAGAAGUAAGCAGAAUUCUCUUUCUUAUACAAAGUGCAAAAAUCUACUUUUUUUUGCAAGGCUACUAGUGUAUUUGUAAGGCGACGUAACGCAGUUGCACUAGUGAUGAGAGUGAAAAAUGCUUGUGU